AUCAUUGACGCGUAGAAGACCCCGCAAGGGGGAUUCUGUCACACCCUUUGUCAACUUAUAAACUAUCGUUGCCUCGGCGUAAGGCCGGGGGAGGUCACACUCCCCCCCGCCCCCUCUGAGGGGGCGGAGCAGGCCCGCCGGCGGCCCUAUAAACUCUUGUUUUUACAGUGUCACCUCUGAGUAUAAACACAAAUGAAUCAAAACUUUCAACAACGGAUCUCUUGGUUCUGGCAUCGAUGAAGAACGCAGCGAAAUGCGAUAAGUAAUGUGAAUUGCAGAAUUCAGUGAAUCAUCGAAUCUUUGAACGCACAUUGCGCCCGGUGGUAUUCCACCGGGCAUGCCUGUUCGAGCGUCAUUACAACCCUCAAGCUCUGCUUGGUGUUGGGGCGCUGCCUCCCUCUAGCGGUGGCAGGCCCCUAAAUCUAGUGGCGAGCUCGCCAGGACUCCGAGCGCAGUAGUUUUACCACCUCGCUUAGGAAGGACUGGCGGUGCCCUGCCGUAAAACCCCCCACUAUAUCUAAAAGGUUGACCUCGGAUCAGGUAGGAAUACCCG
Molecule: ribosomal RNA, 553 nt
Filed under: Stegonsporium opalus
Lineage: Eukaryota; Fungi; Ascomycota; Sordariomycetes; Diaporthales; Stilbosporaceae
Description: eukaryotic LSU rRNA
Rfam family: 5.8S ribosomal RNA (bases 202-355)
Source: RNAcentral